Molecule: ribosomal RNA, 301 nt
Filed under: uncultured bacterium
Lineage: Bacteria
Description: partial 16S ribosomal RNA
Rfam family: Bacterial small subunit ribosomal RNA
Source: RNAcentral
CAGCAGCCACGGUAAUACAGAGGGUGCGAGCGUUAAUCGGAUUUACUGGGCGUAAAGCGUGCGUAGGCGGCUUUUUAAGUCGGAUGUGAAAUCCCUGAGCUUAACUUAGGAAUUGCAUUCGAUACUGGGAAGCUAGAGUAUGGGAGAGGAUGGUAGAAUUCCAGGUGUAGCGGUGAAAUGCGUAGAGAUCUGGAGGAAUACCGAUGGCGAAGGCAGCCAUUUGGCCUAAUACUGACGCUGAGGUACGAAAGCAUGGGGAGCAAACAGGAUUAGAUACCCCCGUAGUCCCUGUCUCUUAUAC